UGGGGAAUUUUGCACAAUGGGGGAAACCCUGAUGCAGCGACGCCGCGUGAUUUAGAAGGCCUUCGGGUUGUAAAAAUCUUUUCUAUGGGAAGAAAAUGACAGUACCAUAGGAAUAAGGACCGGCUAAUUACGUGCCAGCAGCCGCGGUAAUACGUAAGGUCCGAGCGUUGUCCGGAAUCAUUGGGCGUAAAGGGUACGUAGGCGGGUAAGCAAGUUAGAAGUGAAAUCCUGUAGCUCAACGACAGUAAGCUUUUAAAACUGCUCAUCUUGAGAUAUGGAAGGGAAAGGGUAAUUCCUAGUGUAGCGGGGAAAUGCGCAGCUAUUAGGAGGAAUACCGGUGGCGAAGGCGACUUUCUGGCCAUAAUCUGACGCUGAGGUACGAAAGCGUGGGUAGCAAACAGG
RNAcentral lists this ribosomal RNA (402 nucleotides) under Bacteroidota bacterium. Its description in RNAcentral is "Bacteroidetes bacterium partial 16S ribosomal RNA". It matches the Rfam family "Bacterial small subunit ribosomal RNA", at positions 355 to 776 of the family's 1533-position model. The record is from RNAcentral. Lineage: Bacteria; Pseudomonadati; Bacteroidota.